This 253-nucleotide ribosomal RNA is filed under the name uncultured bacterium. Its description in RNAcentral is "partial 16S ribosomal RNA". It matches the Rfam family "Bacterial small subunit ribosomal RNA", at positions 524 to 776 of the family's 1533-position model. The record is from RNAcentral.
UACGGGGGGGGCAAGCGUUGUUCGGAAUUACUGGGCGUAAAGGGCUCGUAGGCGGCCAACUAAGUCAGACGUGAAAUCCCUCGGCUUAACCGUGGAACUGCUUGGUAUACUGGCGGUCUUGAGCCAGCUAGGGGCUACCGGAACAAAUGGUGGAGCGGUGAAAUGCGUAGAUAUCAUUUGGAACGCCAAUGGUGAAAACAGGUAGCUGGGGCUGUGCUGACGCUGAGACACGAAAGCCAGGGGAGCAAACGGG